This 167-nucleotide ribosomal RNA is filed under the name uncultured bacterium. Its description in RNAcentral is "partial 16S ribosomal RNA". It matches the Rfam family "Bacterial small subunit ribosomal RNA", at positions 1325 to 1500 of the family's 1533-position model. The record is from RNAcentral.
GCUGGAAUUGCUAGUAAUGGCAGGUCAGCAUACUGCCGUGAAUACGUUCCCGGGCCUUGUACACACCGCCCGUCAAGCCAUGGGAGCCGGGGGUGCUUGAAGUGCGUCGCCGCAAGGCGCGCCCUAGAGCAAAACCGGUGACUGGGGCUAAGUCGUAACAAGGUACC